AAACGACUCUCGGCAACGGAUAUCUCGGCUCUCGCAUCGAUGAAGAACGUAGCGAAAUGCGAUACUUGGUGUGAAUUGCAGAAUCCCGUGAACCAUCGAGUCUUUGAACGCAAGUUGCGCCCCAGGCCCUCGGGCCGAGGGCACGUCUGCCUGGGUGUCACG
RNAcentral lists this ribosomal RNA (162 nucleotides) under Entandrophragma cylindricum (sapele). RNAcentral's name for it is "5.8S ribosomal RNA". It matches the Rfam family "5.8S ribosomal RNA". From Rfam's summary of the family: 5.8S ribosomal RNA (5.8S rRNA) is a component of the large subunit of the eukaryotic ribosome. It is transcribed by RNA polymerase I as part of the 45S precursor that also contains 18S and 28S rRNA. The record is from RNAcentral. Lineage: Eukaryota; Viridiplantae; Streptophyta; Magnoliopsida; Sapindales; Meliaceae.